RNAcentral lists this long non-coding RNA (884 nucleotides) under Anas zonorhyncha (Eastern spot-billed duck). RNAcentral describes it as "lncRNA (ENSAZOG00000013676.1)". The record is from RNAcentral. Lineage: Eukaryota; Metazoa; Chordata; Aves; Anseriformes; Anatidae.
UAAGAAAAUUAGCUUUUUGCCUUUCUGUAGAGAUGAAAACACAGCUACUUUGGUCAUUUUCCAGAUUUUCACAAGUAAAUUUGAUUUGGUGCUGAUAACAGGAGGGGGGUAAUAGGCAAAGCAAAGGUUUGAAAGAGUCUGAAUUUAAUGGCAAGUUCAGAGCAGGAAUACACUGGGAAGAUCUACCUUUGCCACAAGGGCUCUGUGCAGGCAGAAAACAAAGCAGACUAGUGAUGUGGACCUGUGUUUUCUCCGAUGUGCCGCCACCGGUGCUGCCUGUCCUUGUGGGAAAAAACAGUAAUCUUCAGACACAGCUUACACUGCUAGGGGUGUAGCAGUGGGGUCAAGUACUUAUGGCUUUUUGCCAUUUGUAAGACCUAUGGUUCACCCACUGUGUGAACUCAACAUCUUCUUUCUGUAGCAUUUUUAUUUUCCUACCAUGUGUAGAGUGAUUACUGCUAAUGAUUAACAUGCGGGUGUCAUACUCUAGGGAUCAUUCGUUUACCCUAGGUAGUCAUACAGCGAAUGUUUCAUGGGUAGCUGUUUUCAUCAGAGAAGCAGCACUCUUGCUUCCUCACUGCUUUUUUAUCUGUUUCCAGAAGAGAUUCAGAAAUGUUAAGAGAAGAAUACCUACAGUCUUCAAAUCUGAGCUCCUCUGUAUGCGGACCAUGGGCAGGUUAGCUUUUAUGGAGAACAUAAAGAACUGGAAUGCAAACGCAAGUGUGUACAGAGGGCCAGUUAAGGUACUCAUUCAGAAACCUGAAGGAUCAGCUAUGUCUUAAAUAACACCUCCUUCUGGGGACUUAAGCAGUUACCUGGUGGCCCUCUCGUCAUCUUCAUGUGAGCCUCAGGUGUGGCUUGAAUAUGCUACAGCUCUGCAUAAG